CCUACUGGUGGCUGCAGUGAGGAAUAUUGGUCAAUGGGCGAGAGCCUGAACCAGCCAAGUCGCGUGAGGGAGUACUGCCCUAUGGGUUGUAAACCUCUUUUGUCGGGGAGCAAAAGCCGGACGUGUCCGGCUGUGAGAGUACCCGAAGAAAAAGCAUCGGCUAACUCCGUGCCAGCAGCCGCGGUAAUACGUAUGGUGCAAGCGUUAUCCGGAUUUACUGGGUGUAAAGGGAGCGCAGGCGGCACGGCAAGCCUGAUGUGAAAGCCCGGGGCCCAACCGCGGGACUGCAUUGGGAACUACCGGGCUGGAGUGCCGGAGAGGUAGGCGGAAGUCCUAGUGUAGCGGUGAAAUGCGUAGAUAUUAGGAGGAACACCAGUGGCGAAGGCGGCCUACUGGACGGUGACUGACGCUGAGGCUCGAAAGCGUGGGGAGCAAACAGGAUUAGAUACCCGAGUAGUC
Molecule: ribosomal RNA, 459 nt
Filed under: uncultured bacterium
Lineage: Bacteria
Description: partial 16S ribosomal RNA
Rfam family: Bacterial small subunit ribosomal RNA
Source: RNAcentral